RNAcentral lists this ribosomal RNA (665 nucleotides) under Eudoxoides spiralis. RNAcentral's name for it is "partial large subunit ribosomal RNA". It matches the Rfam family "Bacterial large subunit ribosomal RNA", at positions 1811 to 2605 of the family's 2925-position model. Lineage: Eukaryota; Metazoa; Cnidaria; Hydrozoa; Siphonophorae; Diphyidae. The record is from RNAcentral.
AAACAUAGCCAAGUUUAAAUACCCAAGGUGCUACCUGCUCAGUGGCCAAAGAAAAAACCUUUUAAUAAGAGGUAAAUUUGGUUAAACAGCUGCCUUAAUCCUAGAGGGUACUAAGUAAGCAUAAUCGGAUACCGUUUAAUUGGCGGAGAGUUGAAUGGACGAACGAGCGCAAAACUGUCUUAGUAAAAAAUAUAUUAAAUUAGACAUUUUAGUGAAGAGGCUAAAAUAGAUAGAGGGACGAGAAGACCCCGUGAAGCUUAACUAUAGACUGAUGUACAUACCCUUAUUGGUAGGUGUCAGACACUUACUUGACAUUUAUUUUUAAUUAAAAAGUAUAAUGUGUAUAAUUAUUUGUUUAGUCAGUUAGUUAGUUUUGUUGGGGCGACAGCACGUUAAAAGAAUCAUGAAGUUAGCGGUGAUAAAAUAAAGAAACUAGUGUAAGAUACAUCUUUAUACAGAAUUAAAAAAUGGUAAAGUGACCCCCCCUAAGAAUAUAGUAAAAAGGGGUACGAAGGAUAAAAGUUACUCCGGGGAUAACAGGGUAAUUGGGAUCUGUAGUCGUCAUGUGGGUCCCUGUUUACCACCUCGAUGUUGAAUUGACUUAUCCUAAUGAUGAAGAAGAUAUUAAGGGUGGGACUGUUCGUCCCCUAAGAAGUUACAUGAUU